ACUCCUACGGGAGGCAGCAGUGGGGGAUAUUGCACAAUGGAGGAAACUCUGAUGCAGCGACGCCGCGUGAGGGAAGAAGGUCUUCGGAUUGUAAACCUCUGUCUUUGGGGACGAAGAAAGUGACGGUACCCAAAGAGGAAGCCACGGCUAACUACGUGCCAGCAGCCGCGGUAAU
This 175-nucleotide ribosomal RNA is filed under the name uncultured bacterium. Its description in RNAcentral is "partial 16S ribosomal RNA". It matches the Rfam family "Bacterial small subunit ribosomal RNA", at positions 335 to 524 of the family's 1533-position model. The record is from RNAcentral.